Molecule: long non-coding RNA, 508 nt
Organism: Rosa chinensis
Lineage: Eukaryota; Viridiplantae; Streptophyta; Magnoliopsida; Rosales; Rosaceae
Exons: 3
Source: RefSeq, a predicted model, not a curated record
CGUUCGAGUAUUUUUCUUAACUCGCCCUUCAUCACUUGGUCAGUCCCUCUCCUCCUCAGUCCUCAUCAGUCAUCACUUCGAUAAUUCGAUUUCGCUCCCAGGCUCCCAGCCUCCUCCUCCUCGGCUCCUCAUCACUUCGAUUACGCUCCCAGGCUCCCAGCCUCCUCCUCCUCAGUCCUCAUCAGUCAUCAGUUCGAUUUCGCUCCCAGGCUCCCAGCCUCCUCCUCCUCAGUCCUCAUCAGUCAUCAGUUCGAUUUCGCUCCCAGGCUCCCAGCCUCCUCCUCCUCGGCUCCUCCUCCUCUUCUAAACUUCUGCAAAUCUGCAGCUCUGGCCUCUAGGCUCUGGAAUUCUCGGCUUCUCCAAGACAUCAACAUCAAUUUGAGGCAAUGAUUCAAUGUGAAGAUUUCAUGGAUUGAACUCAUUGAAGAAUGAAGAUUUCAUGGAUUGAACUCAUCUUCGUCUCAUCGUCUCAUCGUCUGGUGUUAGAGUAACAUGUCAAAUCAUGAGC